UACGUAGGGUGCGAGCGUUGUCCGGAAUUAUUGGGCGUAAAGAGCUCGUAGGCGGUGUGUCACGUCGGCCGUGAAAACCUGCAGCUUAACUGUGGGCGUGCGGUCGAUACGGGCAGACUGGAGUACUGCAGGGGAGACUGGAAUUCCUGGUGUAGCGGUGAAAUGCGCAGAUAUCAGGAGGAACACCGGUGGCGAAGGCGGUUCUCUGGGCAUUACCUGACGCUGAGGAGCGAAAGUGUGGGGAGCGAACAGG
This 253-nucleotide ribosomal RNA is filed under the name uncultured bacterium. RNAcentral's name for it is "partial 16S ribosomal RNA". It matches the Rfam family "Bacterial small subunit ribosomal RNA", at positions 524 to 776 of the family's 1533-position model. The record is from RNAcentral.